Molecule: ribosomal RNA, 650 nt
Filed under: uncultured bacterium
Lineage: Bacteria
Description: bacterial SSU rRNA
Rfam family: Bacterial small subunit ribosomal RNA
Source: RNAcentral
ACAUGCCUUUGCGUGGGGGAUAACUAUUGGAAACGAUAGCUAAUACCGCAUGAUGUCUACGGACCAAAGAGGGCUUCGGCUCUCGCGCAAAGAGUGGCCUAAGCGAGAUUAGCUUGUUGGUGAGGUAAAGGCUCACCAAGGCGACGAUCUCUAGCUGUUCUGAGAGGAAGAUCAGCCACACUGGAACUGAGACACGGUCCAGACUCCUACGGGAGGCAGCAGUGGGGAAUAUUGCACAAUGGGGGCAACCCUGAUGCAGCCAUGCCGCGUGUGUGAAGAAGGCCUUCGGGUUGUAAAGCACUUUCAGUUGUGAGGAAAGGUUAAUGGUUAAUACCCAUUAGCUGUGACGUUAGCAACAGAAGAAGGACCGGCUAACUCCGUGCCAGCAGCCGCGGUAAUACGGAGGGUCCGAGCGUUAAUCGGAAUUACUGGGCGUAAAGCGCACGCAGGCGGUUUGUUAAGCUAGAUGUGAAAGCCCCGGGCUCAACCUGGGAAUUGCAUUUAGAACUGGCAGGCUAGAGUCUUGGAGAGGGGAGUGGAAUUCCAGGUGUAGCGGUGAAAUGCGUAGAUAUCUGGAGGAACAUCAGUGGCGAAGGCGACUCCCUGGCCAAAGACUGACGCUCAUGUGCGAAAGUGUGGGUAGCGAACAG